AUUUAAAUAGCUUAUAUUUGAGAGCAUGACACUGAAGAUGUUAAGGAGAUAUUUUUGUCUUUAAAUG
This 67-nucleotide transfer RNA is filed under the name Ruspolia dubia. Its description in RNAcentral is "tRNA-Phe". The record is from RNAcentral. Lineage: Eukaryota; Metazoa; Arthropoda; Insecta; Orthoptera; Tettigoniidae.